This 552-nucleotide ribosomal RNA is filed under the name uncultured bacterium. RNAcentral's name for it is "bacterial SSU rRNA". It matches the Rfam family "Bacterial small subunit ribosomal RNA", at positions 28 to 580 of the family's 1533-position model. The record is from RNAcentral.
GACGAACGCUGGCGGCGUGCCUAAUACAUGCAAGUCGAGCGAAGAAUAGGUUUCAAAUCUUCGGAUGCGAGAUCUAUUACUUAGCGGCGAACGGGUGAGUAACGCGUGGGCAACCUGCCCCCUAGACCGGGAUAACAGCUCGAAAGGGCUGCUAAUACCGGAUACGCCUCAUGUGCUGCAUGGCAUAUGAGGGAAAGCGCUUUAGCGCUGGGGGAUGGGCCCGCGUCCCAUUAGCUAGUUGGUGAGGUAACGGCUCACCAAGGCGGCGAUGGGUAGCCGGCCUGAGAGGGUGGACGGCCACACUGGGACUGAGACACGGCCCAGACUCCUACGGGAGGCAGCAGUAGGGAAUAUUGCGCAAUGGGGGGAACCCUGACGCAGCGACGCCGCGUGAGCGACGAAGGCCUUCGGGUCGUAAAGCUCUGUCCUAUGGGACGACGAGGACGGUACCAUAGGAGGAAGCCCCGGCUAACUACGUGCCAGCAGCCCGCGGUAAUACGUAGGGGGCGAGCGUUGUCCGGAAUUACUGGCGUAAAGGGUGCGUANGCGGAU